This is a long non-coding RNA of Xenia sp. Carnegie-2017, 388 nucleotides long. RefSeq lists it as uncharacterized. The transcript has 2 exons. NCBI's taxonomy places the organism in Eukaryota, Metazoa, Cnidaria, Anthozoa, Malacalcyonacea, Xeniidae. The record is from RefSeq and is a predicted model, not a curated record.
CUGGAUUUUUCUAGAACGUACGACUAGAUAAUAAACAUAAACAUUUAGAUAAUUACUACAUUGCUUCAUAUUAAUACACGCUCAGAAGUUUCGAGUAGUAAAAUCACAUACAGAGAAUAUACAGAAUAUUUAGUGAAAUCUUUCGUUCUUAAAAUUAUUACAACAAACAAACUGAAGUGGCUGAACGGCUAAGUUAAACUGUUAAGAAGAACACUCCGAAUCAUUCCACAUGCGGAAGUGUUUAGUGGUCACAAACCGCUUUAUUUUGGAUUCGACUUCCGUUCAAUACUGCUUUGACGAACGAAUUCCUAGUAAUGUUGAAAGAAAAUUAAUUCAAUUGUAAAAAACCUAAACUGUUAUUUGGAAUAUCAAGAAAACAGGAUGUCUA